GACGAACGCUGGCGGCGUGCUUAACACACGCAAGUCGAACGGUAAGGCCCUUCGGGGUACACGAGUGGCGAACGGGUGAGUAACACGUGGGUGAUCUGCCAUGCACUUCGGGAUAAGCCUGGGAAACUGGGUCUAAUACCGGAUAGGACCCUGGGAUGCAUGUCCUGGGGUGGAAAGCUUUUGCGGUGUGGGAUGGGCCCGCGGCCUAUCAGCUUGUUGGUGGGGUGACGGCCUACCAAGGCGACGUGGGGUAGCCGGCCUGGGAGGGUGACCGGCCACACUGGGACUGAGAUACGGCCCAGACUCCUACGGGAGGCAGCAGUGGGGAAUAUUGCACAAUGGGCGCAAGCCUGAUGCAGCGACGCCGCGUGAGGGAUGACGGCCUUCGGGUUGUAAACCUCUUUCAGCACCGACGAAGCGCAAGUGACGGUAGGUGCAGAAGAAGGACCGGCCAACUACGUGCCAGCCGCCGCAGUAA
RNAcentral lists this ribosomal RNA (478 nucleotides) under uncultured bacterium. Its description in RNAcentral is "partial 16S ribosomal RNA". It matches the Rfam family "Bacterial small subunit ribosomal RNA", at positions 28 to 523 of the family's 1533-position model. The record is from RNAcentral.